Long non-coding RNA from Mauremys reevesii (Reeves's turtle), 1207 nucleotides. RefSeq lists it as uncharacterized. NCBI's taxonomy places the organism in Eukaryota, Metazoa, Chordata, Testudines, Geoemydidae. The transcript has 6 exons. The record is from RefSeq and is a predicted model, not a curated record.
AGAGGCCGGUGCCAAGCCGCGGCUGGGCGCAUCCUGCCUCCCUGCUGGGCGGGCGCUGCCAGCUGCGUGAGGCACGUGGGCGGGGAAUCUGCUCUCCCAGCAGGCGCAGGCACCCACCUGACAACAGCCUCCUCGCCUAGAUGCAGGGAACCAACAGAUGAAAAUGACUAUAAAUAUUUACAGUAUCCAGAGGGGAGGCUGUUGUUUGGGAGCUGGUCAUGGCGAACAGACUGACAGACACAAACACCCAUGUAGGGUCUAAAAGAAUUAGGCUUUCCAAGAUUUCCAGGAGGAUGGUAAGCCGCAGGUUACAUUAAGUGAACAUGCUGUGAGAUAAGAAUUGCUUCUCAGAAUGAGGUGUCUGCCUGAACCACUAUGAAGGGUCUGCUUUUACUUCUUGUCGGAGCUCCUGAAAUCCUGUCUGCAGCCCUGGUUGGGAGUAGGAGCCGGUGAGUUUCUGCCUUGAGACUCCAUGCUGGAAGAAAUUGGUGUGACACCGCCUUGCUGAGCUUCUGUACUGGGAGGAGGAGAAGCCAGAGAGCUGUCACCAUGCUGAACUGGUGUGGGAGGAGCCAUAGAUAUCAAAUUGCUUUAUGAAAGAAGUCUGUAGCAUGGGCUAAGAGGAGAAGAAACUUCACCUAGAAGGAUGGUGUUUCUCCAUGACAUAAUCCCCACCUCAAAGACACGGGUCUUUAACAGAUUCUGUGCCUGUGAUCUCCUGAUAAUGCUCUAUUACUAUAAUGGAACAUCUGGGACCCAGGUCGCUCCAUCCAAAAUCAGAGUAACUCCAAUUAAGUUAUGGCCAAUCUCUUUAACGUGGGCAGAAAGACACUCUACUCCCUUUGUUUAUUUAUUUAUUAUUAAAAAAGAAAGAGUUAGACCUUCUUUCAUAACUUUAAGGUCAUAUUUUCCCCUCAGCUCUUUGAAGUUAAUCAAAGUCCCCCCUGCACAGCCAAACAUAGGAUUUAUUCCUUGAAUUGAAAAGCAUUUCAUACUGGUCCAUGCUCUGUCCUCACCCACAGACAUAAAAAUCUACUGAAGUGAGGGGAGUUGCAAAAUUGCACCUGAGGGUGCACUGUGAUUCAUUGUGUCUAAUGGAAAACCUCUCACACACAACAGGAUAACGGUUAUUUAUUAAUAAAUUCCUUAACUAUCCUAAUUACUGUCUGAUAAUAAAAUUAUCAUUACUGAGGUUUACUUUUCUUUA